CUUAUAUAAAAAUUUAUGACUUCUAUAUAUACAUUUUUGCAGCCAUUUUAACAAAUAAAUCCUAUAACUGGACUUAUUUACAACCCAAUGCCAUUAGCAUUAAUU
This 105-nucleotide small RNA is filed under the name Arabidopsis thaliana (thale cress). RNAcentral's name for it is "ATSL084920". Lineage: Eukaryota; Viridiplantae; Streptophyta; Magnoliopsida; Brassicales; Brassicaceae. The record is from RNAcentral.